This 464-nucleotide ribosomal RNA is filed under the name uncultured bacterium. Its description in RNAcentral is "partial 16S ribosomal RNA". It matches the Rfam family "Bacterial small subunit ribosomal RNA", at positions 339 to 795 of the family's 1533-position model. The record is from RNAcentral.
CUACGGGAUGCAGCAGUGGGGAAUAUUGCACAAUGGGCGCAAGCCUGAUGCAGCCACGCCGCGUGUAUGAAGAAGGCCUUCGGGUUGUAAAGUACUUUCAGCGGGGAGGAAGGGAGUAAAGUUAAUACCUUUGCUCAUUGACGUUACCCGCAGAAGAAGCACCGGCUAACUCCGUGCCAGCAGCCGCGGUAAUACGGAGGGUGCAAGCGUUGAUCGGAAUUACUGGGCGUAAAGCGCACGCAGGCGGUUUGUUAAGUCAGAUGUGAAAUCCCCGGGCUCAACCUGGGAACUGCAUCUGAUACUGGCAAGCAUGAGUCUCGUAGAGGGGGGUAGAAUUCCAGGUGUAGCGGUGAAAUGCGUAGAGAUCUGGAGGAAUACCGGUGGCGAAGGCGGCCCCCUGGACGAAGACUGACGCUCAGGUGCGAAAGCGUGGGGAGCAAACAGGAUUAGAUACCCCUGUAGUC